GAUGAACGCUGGCGGCGUGCCUAAUACAUGCAAGUCGAACGCACAGCGAAAGGUGCUUGCACCUUUCAAGUGAGUGGCGAACGGGUGAGUAACACGUGGACAACCAGCCUCAAGGCUGGGGAUAACAUUUGGAAACAGAUGCUAAUACCGAAUAAAACUCAGUGUCGCAUGACACAAAGUUAAAAGGCGCUUUGGCGUCACAUAGAGAUGGAUCCGCGGUG
This 221-nucleotide ribosomal RNA is filed under the name uncultured bacterium. RNAcentral's name for it is "partial 16S ribosomal RNA". It matches the Rfam family "Bacterial small subunit ribosomal RNA", at positions 28 to 238 of the family's 1533-position model. The record is from RNAcentral.